RNAcentral lists this ribosomal RNA (468 nucleotides) under uncultured bacterium. RNAcentral's name for it is "partial 16S ribosomal RNA". It matches the Rfam family "Bacterial small subunit ribosomal RNA", at positions 28 to 507 of the family's 1533-position model. The record is from RNAcentral.
GACGAACGCUGGCGGCGUGCCUAAUACAUGCAAGUCGAACGGAAAGGCCCUGCUCUUGUGCGGUGCUCGUGAGGCGAACGCGGGUGUAUCACGCGAGUAUCCUGUCCCUGUCUUUGGGAGAUCUCCAGGAAACUGGGGCUAUUAUCGGAGAGGAGCUCUUGCUGCACGGGGGUGGAUGGUGAGUGUCGGCGGUGGGGGAUGGACUCGCGGCUUAUGAGCUGCUUGGUGAGGUAGUGGCUGACGAGGGCUACGACGGAUAGCCGGCCUUGGAGCGUGACCGGCCACCAUAGGACUGCGAGACGGCCCAGACUGCAAUGGGAGGCAGCAGUCGAGAAUCUUGCACAGUGAGCGGAAGCCUGAUGCGACAGCGCCGCGUGCGGGAUGACGGCUUUCGGGUUGAAAACCGCUUUCGCCUGUGACGAAGCGUGAGUGACGGUAAUGAGUCAAAAAGCACCGGCUAACUACGUG